This 21-nucleotide non-coding RNA is filed under the name Caenorhabditis elegans. The record is from RNAcentral. Lineage: Eukaryota; Metazoa; Nematoda; Chromadorea; Rhabditida; Rhabditidae.
UAUGAUUAGGCGUUAGCAAAA